RNAcentral lists this unclassified non-coding RNA (397 nucleotides) under Hevea brasiliensis (rubber tree). Lineage: Eukaryota; Viridiplantae; Streptophyta; Magnoliopsida; Malpighiales; Euphorbiaceae. The record is from RNAcentral.
UUGUAACAUUCAAUGCCGGUGGUAAUCCCGUGCUCGCAUGUAAAGCAUCUCCAUUUAUAUCUAAAUUAGAAAGCUGCGCUGUACGCCCUUGCAAUUUGAACUGAUCUCGGGAAAAUGACUUUAACCAGUACUUCAAUGUAUACUCCAAUGCUCUAGCUAGUAUCGACUCCAUCUCUCACCAGAUCUAACACAACGGUGAAGUUCACCGGCACCGGAAAUCGACUUCGGCGGCUGGGUGAUGUGAAUGUGAGAAAUGGAUAUAUGGAUUGGUGAAAAGGGAUGAGUCGGUAGCACGUAGGAAUCACGUGCGAUAGAGAUUCGGUGGGACCUGGGAGCAGUAUAAUUAACUUCCGGUGAUGGUGUUGAAGUAAUUACUACUACAAAUUAUAGUGAAUUG